AUUGAACGCUGGCGGCAGGCCUAACACAUGCAAGUCGAGCGGAUGAAGGGAGCUUGCUCCUGGAUUCAGCGGCGGACGGGUGAGUAAUGCCUAGGAAUCUGCCUGGUAGUGGGGGAUAACGUCCGGAAACGGGCGCUAAUACCGCAUACGUCCUGAGGGAGAAAGUGGGGGAUCUUCGGACCUCACGCUCUCAGAUGAGCCUAGGUCGGAUUAGCUAGUUGGUGGGGUAAAGGCCUACCAAGGCGACGAUCCGUAACUGGUCUGAGAGGAUGAUCAGUCACACUGGAACUGAGACACGGUCCAGACUCCUACGGGAGGCAGCAGUGGGGAAUAUUGGACAAAGGGGGAAAGCCUGAUCCAGCCAUGCCGCGUGUGUGAAGAAGGUCUUCGGAUUGUAAAGCACUUUAAGUUGGGAGGAAGGGCAGUAAGUUAAUACCUUGCUGUUUUGACGUUACCAACAGAAUAAGCACCGGCUAACUUCGUG
RNAcentral lists this ribosomal RNA (484 nucleotides) under uncultured bacterium. RNAcentral describes it as "partial 16S ribosomal RNA". It matches the Rfam family "Bacterial small subunit ribosomal RNA", at positions 30 to 507 of the family's 1533-position model. The record is from RNAcentral.